UACGGGGGGAGCAAGCGUUGUUCGGAUUUACUGGGCGUAAAGGGCGCGUAGGCGGCCACCGCAAGUCGACUGUGAAAUCUCCGGGCUUAACCCGGAAAGGUCAGCCGAUACUGCGGGGCUAGAGUGCAGAAGGGGGCAACUGGAAUUCUCGGUGUAGCGGUGAAAUGCGUAGAUAUCGAGAGGAACACCUGCGGCGAAGGCGGGUUGCUGGGCUGACACUGACGCUGAUGCGCGAAAGCUAGGGGAGCGAACGGG
This 255-nucleotide ribosomal RNA is filed under the name uncultured bacterium. RNAcentral describes it as "partial 16S ribosomal RNA". It matches the Rfam family "Bacterial small subunit ribosomal RNA", at positions 524 to 776 of the family's 1533-position model. The record is from RNAcentral.